UAAAUUAGAUAUAAAACAAUAAAAAUAUAUUACAGGUAAAAAUCAUAAGGCUUUUUGCAGAAUUGACCUACAACUUAAAGUCAAACACAAAACUAACCUCUUUAUUUUUUGAAAAUUGGUUUUGCCCUAUUCACCCCACAAGUUCAUAUAAUUCACGAAAAUGCCAUAAAUUUUUUUCUUCUUUCGAAAAUGACAUUUUUACUCUCUCACCCUCAUCAUC
RNAcentral lists this long non-coding RNA (220 nucleotides) under Brassica napus (rape). RNAcentral's name for it is "long non-coding RNA (BNAP_LNC001498)". Lineage: Eukaryota; Viridiplantae; Streptophyta; Magnoliopsida; Brassicales; Brassicaceae. The record is from RNAcentral.